AUUUAAAUAAUUUAAGAAAAAUAUUGAUUUGUGGGAUCAAAAAUAUGAAGAGUAAAUAUCAUUUUAAAUU
Molecule: transfer RNA, 70 nt
Filed under: Lethe verma
Lineage: Eukaryota; Metazoa; Arthropoda; Insecta; Lepidoptera; Nymphalidae
Description: tRNA-His
Source: RNAcentral